This 372-nucleotide ribosomal RNA is filed under the name uncultured organism. Its description in RNAcentral is "bacterial SSU rRNA". It matches the Rfam family "Bacterial small subunit ribosomal RNA", at positions 526 to 896 of the family's 1533-position model. The record is from RNAcentral.
CGGAAGGGGCAAGCGUUGUUCGGAAUCAUUGGGCGUAAAGGGCGCGUAGGUGGUUCUGUAUGUCUACCGUGAAAGCAUACAGCUCAACUGUAUUUUGUCGGUAGAAACUGCAGGACUUGAGGCUGGGAGGGGCUGGUGGAAUUCCCUGUGUAGCGGUGAAAUGCGUAGAGAUGGGGGAGAACACUCGUGGCGAAGGCGGCCAGCUAGACCAGUUCUGACACUGAGGCGCGACAGCGUGGGGAGCAAACAGGAUUAGAUACCCUGGUAGUCCACGCUGUAAACGAUGGGCACUAGGUGCCGGCGGUCUUGAUCCCGUCGGUGCCGGCGCUAACGCAGUAAGUGUCCCGCCUGGGGAGUACGGCCGCAAGGCUG